RNAcentral lists this ribosomal RNA (241 nucleotides) under uncultured bacterium. RNAcentral describes it as "partial 16S ribosomal RNA". It matches the Rfam family "Bacterial small subunit ribosomal RNA", at positions 15 to 248 of the family's 1533-position model. The record is from RNAcentral.
GAUCAUGGCUCAGGAUGAACGCUAGCUACAGGCUUAACACAUGCAAGUCGAGGGGCAGCAUGAACUUAGCUUGCUAAGUUUGAUGGCGACCGGCGCACGGGUGAGUAACACGUAUCCAACCUGCCGAUGACUCGGGGAUAACCCUUCGAAAGAAAGAUUAAUACCCGAUGGCAUAGUUCUUCCGCAUGGUAGAACUAUUAAAGAACUUCGGUCAUCGAUGGGGAUGCGUUCCAUUAGGUUG